CAGAGAAGGGGGCCCCAGCUCUGCAGGCUGCGAUUGCUUCGUCUCUACACGCCCUGGCAACCUCCACUAACUUUGUACCACUUUCAUCCACAUUGCCCACCAGAAAGGUUUCGGAGGUGUCUCCAUGGUAGCCAUUGUAAUAGACCUAAACACAGGCACACAUUUUAAGAAGCGCCAUGUGAUUUUGAACGACAUCGGGCUCAUCAUGAGAGACCAAUGAUUACAGCACCAGAGCACAUGGAGGGGGCAGAGGAGACUGGUUGGCUGUUGACCCUUGGACACCAUGUGGCAUUUACUGUUUUGCAUAAACUUAGCCCAUCUAAUUAUCUUCACGGUUCCCCUUUUCCUGAGGUGAACACAGGGACUCUGAGAAGAUCUGUUUAUUUAAGCUUUGUCUGAGUUAAUGUCAUACCCAUCGCCAUCAGGCAAUGAAGACCAUGUUCUCCUGGGCAGCAAGAAGAUGAUGCAAAAGGCUUCACAGAGAUCGCUGGCUUUUAAGUCAGGAAACUGAGGCAGAGACAAAUAAAGUGUGCGGGUUCCUGACAGAGGAGAAAGGUACAUCCCAACCAGUCUGGUAGACUGAUGGCUUCUUAAUCCCCCCACGGUACAGCCAUGCUUGCUAAUUCAUUCCCACUUACAUUCCCUUCCAGAAAAAUGUAAGCUUUUGUCAUAUACACUAAUUUAUAAUUUGUUAAUAUAAGUGUAGUUAUUCAAGAAAUUUUGCAACUGCAUGUUUUUAAGUAAAAUGUAUUCUUUAACUUCAUUUAGCUCGCUGUUCCAUGUUACCUUAAAAUUAAAAAUAUGUAGAAACA
This 812-nucleotide long non-coding RNA is filed under the name Rattus norvegicus (Norway rat). RNAcentral describes it as "long non-coding RNA NONRATT019371". The record is from RNAcentral. Lineage: Eukaryota; Metazoa; Chordata; Mammalia; Rodentia; Muridae.